Molecule: ribosomal RNA, 448 nt
Filed under: Shigella sp. FC1967
Lineage: Bacteria; Pseudomonadati; Pseudomonadota; Gammaproteobacteria; Enterobacterales; Enterobacteriaceae
Description: bacterial SSU rRNA
Rfam family: Bacterial small subunit ribosomal RNA
Source: RNAcentral
UUUAAUUGAAGAGUUUGAUCAUGGCUCAGAUUGAACGCUGGCGGCAGGCCUAACACAUGCAAGUCGGGCGGUAACAGGAGAAAGCUUGCUUUCUUGCUGACGAGCGGCGGACGGGUGAGUAAUGUAUGGGGAUCUGCCCGAUAGAGGGGGAUAACUACUGGAAACGGUGGCUAAUACCGCAUGACGUCUACGGACCAAAGCAGGGGCUCUUCGGACCUUGCGCUAUCGGAUGAACCAUAUGGGAUUAGCUAGUAGGUGGGGUAACGGCUCACCUAGGCGACGAUCUCUAGCUGGUCUGAGAGGAUGAUCAGCCACACUGGGACUGAGACACGGCCCAGACUCCUACGGGAGGCAGCAGUGGGGAAUAUUGCACAAUGGGCGCAAGCCUGAUGCAGCCAUGCCGCGUGUAUGAAGAAGGCCUUAGGGUUGUAAAGUACUUUCAGCGGGG